GCUUAAAGGGGCCGUAGCCGGUUUGGUCAGUCCUCCGGGAAAUCUGACGGCUUAACCGUUAGGCUUUCGGGGGAUACUGCCAGACUUGGAACCGGGAGAGGUAAGAGGUACUACAGGGGUAGGAGUGAAAUCUUGUAAUCCCUGUGGGACCACCUGUGGCGAAGGCGUCUUACCAGAACGGGUUCGACGGUGAGGGACGAAAGCUGGGGGCACGAACCGGAUUAGAUACCCGGGUAGUCCCAGCCGUAAACGAUGCUCGCUAGGUGUCAGGCAUGGCGCGACCGUGUCUGGUGCCGCAGGGAAGCCGUGAAGCGAGCCACCUGGGAAGUACGGCCGCAAGGCUGAAACUUAAAGGAAUUGGCGGGGGAGCACAACAACGGGUGGAGCCUGCGGUUUAAUUGGACUCAACGCCGGACAACUCACCGGGGGCGACAGCAAUAUGUAGGUCAGGCUGAAGACCUUGCCUGAAUCGCUGAGAGGAGGUGCAUGGCCGUCGCCAGUUCGUACUGUGAAGCAUCCUGUUAAGUCAGGCAACGAGCGAGACCCGUGCCCACUGUUACCAGCAUGUCCUCCGGGACGAUGGGUACUCUGUGGGGACCGCCGGUGUUAAAUCGGAAGAAGGUGCGGGCCACGGUAGGUACGCAUGCCCCUAA
This 653-nucleotide ribosomal RNA is filed under the name uncultured archaeon. Its description in RNAcentral is "bacterial SSU rRNA". It matches the Rfam family "Archaeal small subunit ribosomal RNA", at positions 508 to 1160 of the family's 1478-position model. The record is from RNAcentral.